RNAcentral lists this ribosomal RNA (465 nucleotides) under uncultured bacterium. Its description in RNAcentral is "partial 16S ribosomal RNA". It matches the Rfam family "Bacterial small subunit ribosomal RNA", at positions 339 to 795 of the family's 1533-position model. The record is from RNAcentral.
CUACGGGGUGCUGCAGUGAGGAAUUUUGCGCAAUGGGGGCAACCCUGACGCAGCAACGCCGCGUGAGUGAAGAAGGCCUUUGGGUCGUAAAACUCUGUCAAUGGGGAAGAAGUUACUAUGUUUAAAUAGAGUGUAGUAUUGACGGUACCCAUGAAGGAAGCACCGGCUAACUCCGUGCCAGCAGCCGCGGUAAUACGGGGGGUGCAAGCGUUAUUCGGAAUUAUUGGGCGUAAAGGGCACGCAGGCGGUCUUGCCAGUCAGAUGUGAAAGCCCGGGGCUCAACCCUGGAAGCGCAUUUGAAACUACAAGACUUGAGUACGGUAGAGGAAAGGGGAAUUCCUGGUGUAGAGGUGAAAUUCGUAGAUAUCAGGAGGAACACCGGUGGCGAAGGCGCCUUUCUGGACCGAAACUGACGCUGAGGUGCGAAGGCGUGGGUAGCGAACAGGAUUAGAUACCCUUGUAGUC